RNAcentral lists this non-coding RNA (156 nucleotides) under Nitratireductor pacificus pht-3B. RNAcentral describes it as "Nitratireductor sp. Pht-3B 6S / SsrS RNA". It matches the Rfam family "6S / SsrS RNA". Rfam says of the family: E. coli 6S RNA was the first non coding RNA to be sequenced, but its function was unknown until recently. It consists of 184 nucleotides that fold into an extended hairpin structure with a large single-stranded internal bulge. The record is from Rfam by way of RNAcentral. Lineage: Bacteria; Pseudomonadati; Pseudomonadota; Alphaproteobacteria; Hyphomicrobiales; Phyllobacteriaceae.
AGCGGUCUGCGCUUCCCGACAGGAAAACUUAUCCCCGGGGCCUUAUCGAUCUCUAAGGGAGCUGUCCCUGGUCUUGCCCGUGGGCUUGGCCAUACGGCGCCCACCUACUGUGUAGGUUCCCGGGAUCGACAUUCCAUCGGUCGUCGUGGAUCGCCA